AUGAACGCUGGCGGCGUGCCUAAUACAUGCCAGUCGAGCGAACAGACGAGGAGCUUGCUCCUCUGACGUUAGCGGCGGACGGGUGAGUAACACGUGGAUAACCUACCUAUAAGACUGGGAUAACUUCGGGAAACCGGAGCUAAUACCGGAUAAUAAAUUGAACCGCAUGGUUCAAUAGUGAAAGACGGUUUUGCUGUCACUUAUAGAUGGAUCCGCGCCGCAUUAGCUAGUUGGUAAGGUAACGGCUUACCAAGGCAACGAUGCGUAGCCGACCUGAGAGGGUGAUCGGCCACACUGGAACUGAGACACGGUCCAGACUCCUACGGGAGGCAGCAGUAGGGAAUCUUCCGCAAUGGGCGAAAGCCUGACGGAGCAACGCCGCGUGAGUGAUGAAGGUCUUCGGAUCGUAAAACUCUGUUAUUAGGGAAGAACAAAUGUGUAAGUAACUAUGCACGUCUUGACGGUACCUAAUCAGAAAGCCACGGCUAACUACGUG
RNAcentral lists this ribosomal RNA (496 nucleotides) under uncultured bacterium. RNAcentral's name for it is "partial 16S ribosomal RNA". It matches the Rfam family "Bacterial small subunit ribosomal RNA", at positions 29 to 507 of the family's 1533-position model. The record is from RNAcentral.